This 229-nucleotide ribosomal RNA is filed under the name uncultured bacterium. Its description in RNAcentral is "partial 16S ribosomal RNA". It matches the Rfam family "Bacterial small subunit ribosomal RNA", at positions 568 to 796 of the family's 1533-position model. The record is from RNAcentral.
UGCGUAGGCGGAUUAAUAAGUCAGUGGUGAAAACCUUCAGCUUAACUGGAGACUUGCCAUUGAUACUGUUAGUCUUGAGUAUGGUCAAGGUAGGCGGAAUGUGUAAUGUAGCGGUGAAAUGCUUAGAUAUUACACAGAACACCGAUUGCGAAGGCAGCUUACUGGACCAUGACUGACGCUGAGGCACGAAAGCGUGGGUAGCGAACAGGAUUAGAUACCCUGGUAGUCC